RNAcentral lists this transfer RNA (66 nucleotides) under Platycnemis foliacea. RNAcentral's name for it is "tRNA-Leu". The record is from RNAcentral. Lineage: Eukaryota; Metazoa; Arthropoda; Insecta; Odonata; Platycnemididae.
ACUAUUUUGGCAGAUAAGUGUUAUGGAUUUAGAAUCCAUUUAUGUAAGAAUUUCUUACAAAUAGUA